GAUGAACGCUGGCGGCGUGCCUAAUACAUGCAAGUCGAGCGAACAGAUAAGGAGCUUGCUCCUUUGACGUUAGCGGCGGACGGGUGAGUUACACGUGGAUAACCUACCUAUAAGACUGGGAUAACUUCGGGAAACCGGAGCUAAUACCGGAUAACAUAUUGAACCGCAUGGUUCAAUAGUGAAAGACGGCUUUGCUGUCACUUAUAGAUGGAUCCGCGCCGUAUUAGCUAGUUGGUAAGGUAACGGCUUACCAAGGCAACGAUACGUAGCCGACCUGAGAGGGUGAUCGGCCACACUGGAACUGAGACACGGUCCAGACUCCUACGGGAGGCAGCAGUAGGGAAUCUUCCGCAAUGGGCGAAAGCCUGACGGAGCAACGCCGCGUGAGUGAUGAAGGUCUUCGGAUCGUAAAACUCUGUUAUCAGGGAAGAACAAAUGUGUAAGUAACUGUGCACAUCUUGACGGUACCUGAUCAGAAAGCCACGGCUAACUACGUG
This 497-nucleotide ribosomal RNA is filed under the name uncultured bacterium. Its description in RNAcentral is "partial 16S ribosomal RNA". It matches the Rfam family "Bacterial small subunit ribosomal RNA", at positions 28 to 507 of the family's 1533-position model. The record is from RNAcentral.